This 7940-nucleotide long non-coding RNA is filed under the name Homo sapiens (human). RNAcentral's name for it is "HSALNT0091171". The record is from RNAcentral. Lineage: Eukaryota; Metazoa; Chordata; Mammalia; Primates; Hominidae.
UAUGGAGAUAAACCAUGGAAAGGGAUUUCAUUGUAAUACCCACGAUUGAGAUGGUUGGAGAUAAAGCCAUUAUCCAGUGAUAGUUCAUCAUGUUGAAGGAAUCCUGCUGUAUGUAUUUUAUAUAUUUUGAUAUGGAUAUGUGAUAUGCACCCUUAAUACAAUUCUAGUCUAUAACAGCUACCUAACAAUAUUUCAGAAUGAGCUUUUUCUAGUAUUCUGUGCCAUUAAAGAGUGGCCCCUUUGUACAUUAAUGAAAGCUUGUCCUUUAGAAUGAAUAGGAAGUCUAAGAAUUUGGCUAAAUACCAUCUUUCUGGAAGAGGAAAAAAUUAAUGGCAAAAUAUUAGAAAUAUAAUUGAUCAAAUGCAAUACUCAUUGUAGUCAAGAGUAAGUAAUGCAAAAAUCUGUAAUUCUCAUGAAAAACAAUAUUAAAAUUGUGUUCCCGGGAAGUUAGUAACAUUUUGACAUUUUUUCUCUAUUCUUUAAAUGGUUCAGAGCAACUAUUUAUUAAUUAGCAUUUUCUUUAAGAAAAACUAAUAUCGUUGUGGAGGAUUAACUUCACUUUGGAGUGUACUACUCCCUUAAAAGGACCAUUAAAAGGCUAUAAAAUUAAUUGUUUUCUACUAAUAAGUUAUUAUUUAGAAUCACUUAGUUUCAUCUACCAGAAAAAAAUGCUUUUUGAGUUAGAGGUUUUAUAUUAUCUCAGUCUUCUCAUCCAUGAUCAAUACUUACUCCAUUUUUGUUAUUAUAUCUGUUUCCUUCUGGUUCUCAUCUUAGCUCAAAAGAAAAAGGAUGAUUGAACAAAAUACCUUUUGAGUAGUCUCUCUGCUCCUCAAAGCACAUGUCUUCAUAAUUAUCUCAAAUUUGCAUAUUUAUUGUUAAAUAAAUAUAAGGGGAAUUUAUUGCAGUAUGCUGCAUUCUUUGCACUCUCUGUGUCUUGUUUGCAUCUUGCCUGUUUUGAUCGUUUUAGAUUAGAGGCACAUGAAUUAUCAUUUAUUUUAAGUGCUAUAUUAUAGUCAUUUUUGCAGAGAAAGAAAGCAGUCAAAAAACAGAUUGUCCAACUUCUUAUAAAUGAGAAUGUCACAAAUAAAAUGCCAGUUUGUUCACCUUGUCCUUUGCACUAACGUCAAGCCAUUCUCUUCGAUGCCUUUUUUGUAAUUAUGAGUAAUAGCCCAAAUAUUUUACAGCAGAGAGAUGAGUCACAAAGCGGAAGAACUAUAAAUACUUUUGUUCUCGAGAAACAAUGAAGCUGUAUAUUCUUUCACAUUCACCCACCACAUAUGUGUUUUAUUUAAGGUUAAGCUUUUUUAAAAACAACUUUCUCCUGCUUUAAGAGUUCCAAUCUCCAGUACAAGUUUUGUUUUCCAGUAAACUGUUUCAUUGUAUUUGAUGCUUCAUAAAUGUAUCUAAAUCUAGCUCAUCAUGCACUGCUAGCUACACCUAAUCAUACACACAUGUCUGAAUUACUCCACUCCUAUUUAAAGGAAAAGAACAAAAAGUAAGAAUGGCAGAUGUGUUCAUAAUUAAUAUCCUACUGGGUUAAUCAGUAGAUCCUCAGGAAUGCUAUGAGGGUUUUGAUGUAUUCAGAAAAUCACUGCCUUUAUCUAUAGACCUCUUUAAAGACAAACAUACAACAGUUAGUUUUUAGAAGAUGUGAUCCUUGCAAAUAAGAUAGUAAAUAAUAUUGUCACAGACUUGCCUCUUUGAAUAACCUAAUUCCAUGCUUGAUUUUAUAUGUUUAAGUGAGGAAUUUAUGGUUCAUAUUUACAGCCAGUGAUAUGUGCAAGGAUUGCUGUUUACUAACAUCACACUCAAAAUUUCUUGUAGACAUUUCAAGCAAUUUGAAGUAUAGUUCUUCUAGAAGUAACUAAAUAUAAACAAGAUGGGCACUUUUUUUAAGGAGAUUGAUAUUUCAGAAUUGUUGAUCACUCCUAUACUUGUGAAUGAGAGAAUAUAAGAGACAUGGUAAUUCACUGAAGGAGAAGAAGAAGAAGGAGAGCAUUGCAUUAUUGGAAAAACUCCAUCUUUAUAGCGAGACAAUACUGAGUUGAAAGCUCAGUCUCCCACUGUGCAACUCUAGGAAUUGCUUAAGAGCUCUGGUCUUUGGUUACCUCAUCUACUAAUGCAGAAUAAUAACACUUCUGUCUUAAGGUUUAGAGUGUUAAAAUAAAGCAGUACUUGGGACAUUGAAAAAUGCUGAAUUUAAAAGUCCUGUUUCAUGGGGAAUAUGAAACUUUCAUUCUAAAAAGACUGUACUGUAUGAAAGAUAAAUUUUAGUUAUAUUGUGGUCCACAUUUCAGUUUUGGAGUUAAUGUAUUCAGGUAUGUGCCUGUCACAAAAGGGUCGUGCAUUAAAUGUUGAGUGAAAACAUUGUGGCUUAGACAGAAAUCUUGGAAUUUAACUAGAAAUUUAUUUUUUUAAAAAAUGAAAGAAUAGGAAGAGGUUCAUCAGCUCUGUCUUGACUAUCUCUAGAUCUAUGAUUGAUGCAAUAUUACCUUUAAGUAAAAAAAAAAAAAGCUACAUAAUUAUUUUAGUUUUAUUGUAUCUUCUUAAGUAUGUUUCAAGUACUUUCAUUUGUGUUUGACUCUUCAAGAUCUUACCUUCACUACAACCCAGUAUUUCCAUUGCAAGUGAUAAUAUUGCAAUGGAAUAUUGCAGUCUUUCUGAAUAACAGAAUUUACAUUAUAUCAGUCCCCGAGAGGACCAGGGGCAUGGAAAGAUCAGGGUUUGGACACUUACACCCCCUUGUGUUUUGGGAGAGGUCAUGGCAACUCGCUGUCCCUAUGUGCAGCUUGCCUAGCAAGUAUCCUUGUGCCUGAAGGAGUGAGAUAUUAAAUAGCAAAUUAAAAAAGACAUUUCAAGCAAUUUGAAGUAUAGUUCUUCUAGAAGUAACUAAAUAUAAACAAGAUGGGCACUUUUUUUAAAGGAGAUUGGUAUUUCAGAAUUGUUGAUCACUCCUAUACUUGUGAAUGACAGAAUAUAAGAGACAUGGUAAUUCACUGAAGGAGGAGAAGAAGAAGCAGGAGAGGAUUGCAUUAUUGGAAAAACUCCAUCUUUAUAGUGAGACAAUACUGAGUUGAAAGCAAUUUGAAGUAUAGGGUUAAAAAUGAGAUUGAGAAGUAAAGCAAAAUGGGUUACAUUUUAGUACUUUUAACUUCAUUUUCCCCCAGUUAUUUUUGAACAAAGGGGCACCACAUUUUGUUUUUAUACUGAGGUUUGCAAAUUAGGCAGCUGGUUCCCAAACAUGUGGCAGAAUGGUCAGACACUUCAGCCUGAUCUCCUAUGCCUUCCUCUGAGGUUGCAUCUUAUAGAACCCAACUUGCCAGUCCCCUCUGCCUCUUUCUUUAACAAAUUUCUUUCUGUUUCCUACCUCAGGAACUCUAUACUUGCUAUUUCUUCCUUCCACUAUACCCUUCCUCCUUGUUCUUGAUUUCUAAGUAUAAGCAUCACUUCUUAAGAAAACCUUCUUUAACCAUGCUAACUGGAGGAGCUCUUCUCGCACAGAAGUUAUUGCUAUCACACCUCUCUCUUUUAUUUUCCUUAUAUAACUUAACUACUAUGUGCUUAUUUUUAAUCUACCAAUUUUGCUCAAUAGGAUGUAAAAUUCCAUGAGGAGAUAUUUUGUUUAUAUUAUUCAAAGUAAUAUACCUAUAUCAGCGGGUAGGGGUGGAAAAGUCCCAGGGCAUAGUAGGUACACAGUAAUUCCUUGCUAAAUAAACACAUGCUAUUGAUUCAUUCUAAAAAUUUAUGAAAACCUACCGUGGCAAAUAACACUAGGAUUUAAAGGGGAUAUCAAUGUGGCUCUUCUAGGAGUCUCUAAUCCAAUUGAGGAGAUGGAAGUAGAUAUAUAAUUAAAAAUUGUAGGUAACUUUAAUGGUUAAAAUUAAUGUUACAAUGUACCAUAAUAUUUCUUGGGUAGCAAUAUAAUUAAGUGGUUUAGAAAAGUUUGGGGCACAUAAGAUUACAAGAAACCCCAAUUUUUGUAUGGUUGUGUUUACAUGGAAGAGGUCAGAGACUCAGGAAUAUUAACCUAUGAAAAUCUUUAUUUUUUUCUCUAAAUUCAAUAGCUUUUUGGGGAACAGAUGGUGUUUGGUUUCAUGAAUAAUUUCUUUAAUGGCGAUUCCUGAGAUUUUGAUGAACCCAUCACGCCAGCAGUGUCCACUGUACCCAAUGUGUAGUCUUUUAUCCCUUGCCACCCCCACCUUUCCCUUCGAGUCUCCAAAGUCCAUUGUAUCAUUCUUAUGCCUUUGCACCCUCAUAGCUUAACUCCCACAUGUGAGUGAGAACGUACAAUGUUUGGUUUUCCAUUCCUGAGUUACUUCACUUAUAAUAAUAGUCUCCAGUUCCAUCCAGGUUGCUGUGAAUGCCAUUAUUUCAUUCCCCUUUAUGGCUGAGUAGUAUUCCAUUAUAUAUACAUAUAUCUAUCUAUCUAUCUAUCUAUCUAUCUAUCUAUCUAUCUAUGCAUCUAUCUAUCUAUAUAUCUAUAUCUAUAUAUAUAUAUCACAUUUUCUUUAUCCACUCAUUGAUUGAUGGGUAUUUGGGCUGGUUCCAUAUUUUUGCAGUUGCAAAUUGUGCAGCUAUAAACAUGCGUGGGCAGAUAUCUUUUUUGUAUAAUGGCUUCUUUUCCUCUGGGUAGAUAACUACUAGUGGGAUUGCUGGAUUAAAUGGUAGAUCUAUUUUUAGUUCUUUAGGGAAUCUUCACAGUGUUUUCUAUAGUGGUUGUACUAGUUUACAUUCCCACCAACAGUGUAAAAGUGUUCCCUUGUUACUGCAUCCCCACCAACAUCUAUUAUUUUUUAAUUUUUUUAUUAUGGCCAUUCUUAUAGGAGUGAGAUGGUAUCAUAUUGUGGUUGUGAUUUGCAUUUCCCUGAUAAUUAGUGAUGUUGAACAUUUUUCCAUAUGCUUGUUGGCCAUUUGUGUAUCUUCUUUUGAGAAUUGUCUAUUCAAGUCCUUGCCUACUUUUUGAUAAGAUUUUUUUUAAAUUUUAUUUCUUGCUGAUUGUUUGAGUUAUUUGUAGAUUCUGGAUAUUAGUCCUUUGUCAGAUGUAUAGAUUGUGAAGAUUUUCUCCCACUCUGUGGGUAGUCUGUUUACUCUGCUGACUAUUUCUUUUGCUGUGCAGAUACUUUUUAGUUUAAUUAAGUCCCAUCUGUUUACCUUUGUUUUUGUUACAUUUGCUUUUGGAUUCUUUGUCACGAACUUUUUGCCCAAGCCUAUAUGUAGAGGGGUUUUUCCAAUGUUAUCUUCUAUAAUCUUUAUGGUUUCAACUCUUAGAUUUAACUCUUUGAUCAUCUUGGGUUGAUUUUUGUAUAAGGUGAGAGAUGAGGAUCCAGUUUCAUUCUCCUAUGUGUGGCUUGCCAAUUAUUCUGGCACCAUUUGUUGAAUAAGGUGUUCUUUCUGCACUUUGUUUUUGUUUUCUUUGUCAAAAAUCAGUUGGCUGUAAGUAUUUGGCUUUCUUUCUGUGUUCUCUAUUCUGUUCCAUUGGUCCAUGUGCCUAUUUUUAUACCAGCACCAUGCUGUUUUGGUGACUAUGGCCUUUAUAGUAGAGUUUGAAGUCGGGUAUUGUGAUGCCUCCAAAUUUGUUCUUUUUGCUUAGUCUUGCUUUGGCUAUGCAGGCUCUUUUUUGGUUCCAUAUUAAUUUUAGGAUUCGUUUUUCUGGUUCUGUGAAGAAUCAUAAUGGUAUUUUGAUAGGAAUUGCAUUGAAUUUGUAGAUUGCUUUUGGCAGUAUGGUCAUUUUCACAAUGUUGAUUCUACCCAUCCAUGAGCAUGGGCUGUGUUUCCAUUUGUUUGUGUCAUCUAUGAUUUCUUUAAGCAGUAUCUUAUAGUUUUCCUUGUAGAGGUCUUUCAUGUCCCUGAUUAGGUAUAUCCAUAAGUAGUUAAUUAAUUAUUUUUGCAGGUUUGUGAAAGGGGUUGAGUUCUGGUUUUGAUUCUCAGCUUGGUCACUGUUAGUGUAUAGCAGAACUACUGAUUUAUGAUGCUAAUUUUGUAUCCUGAAACUUUGCUGAAUUCAUUUACCAGUUCUAGGAGCUUUUUGGAUGAGUUUUAAGGGUUUUCUAGGUAUUCGACCAUAUCAUCAGCAAACAACGACAGUUUGACUUCCUCUUUACCAGUUUGGUUGCCCUUUAUUUCUUUCUCUUGUCUGAUUGCUCUGGCUAGGACUUCCAGUACUACAUUGAAUAGAAGUGGUGAAAGAGUCUUAACUAUAGGAGCUAAGGUGAGGAGGGGCACUGGUCACAGGUUGUCAGGUUAAUGAUAAAGGAAUGGUCAAGCAGUGAAUAGUUUUUAAAACUAUUCUGGAAGCCAGAAGAGAAUAAGUAAAUUGAUGUGUGAUAAAGUAGAUAGGAUUUCAGCAUCUAGUUAUGUGCAGAAUAGCUUAGUUGUUAAAGGUCACCACAUACGCCUAGGCCAUCGGUGUAUGUAUGUGCUAUAUGUCAGUGUUUCCUGAAUCUGUACGAAGCUUAGCCUUGAAUUCACCACCCAAACUUUCAUGAUCCGUCUCUUGAUUCCAUCAUAAGCUCUUUGCUUUGGAAUUUAUUUUUACUUUUUUGGGAUUGACUUAUUCAUGUUGUUUCUUUGGUCCUGAGCCUUCUUCCCAUCAGAGGUGGUCUCUUUAAUUGCUUAUAAAUCCACACCACCUAUAGGUUCAUAAGCUGUAAGGCCCUAAAUUCCCACUCUGGCAAUACCACUAGGUUUCCUUUUACUCCAGUAGAGCAGUGUUAAGACUGGAAACUUGGCCAAUAAGUGACGAGAUGGACAGGAAAUGAAUGAUUCUGAAAUUACCAGGAUGGAUUUAAAAUCUAUUUUAAGUUCCAAUUGAAUGCAGCAAACAAGUAGCAGAUUUUGGAAGGAACAAUCCACAAUCCAGAAUUUUAGAAUCACACAAACAGUAAACUGGGUUAUGACCACUGAUUCCAGGAAAAAAUUAAAAAGUGCCACAUACUCUCUGUUUUGGUUUUAGGCAUUUUCUGGGAUCAGGUUUCCUUGAAGUAGAGCCUCAAUUAAGACAAUGCCUAAAAGUAGAAAAGAGAGUGCUAUGGUUUAAACAUUUGUCCCCUCCAAGAGUCAGGUUGAAAUUUAAUUGGUAUUGUAACAGUAUUAAAAGAUGGGGCUAUUAAGAGAUGAUCAAGCCAUGAAGGCUUUACCCUCAUGAAUAGAAUUAUUGCCAUGAUAAAAGGGCAAAUUUGGCCUUCUUUUGCUUCUCUCUUGACUCUCUUCUACUUUUCUGCCAUGUGAGGAACAGUGUUCCUGCCCUCACAAGGAUGCAGCCUUCAAGGUGUCAUCUUGGAAGCAGAGACUGGGCCCUCAUCAGACACCAAACCCGUUGGCAUCUUAAUCUUGGAUUUCCUAGCCUCCAGAACCGCUCGAGUGAUCCUCCCAUGUCAGCCUCCUGAGUAACUGGGACUACAGGUGCACACCAUUAUGCCCAGGUAAUUUUCACCUUUUUGUAGAGAAGGGGUCUAACUAUGUUGUCCAGGCUGGUCUCAAAUUCCUGGUCUCAAGCAAUCCUCCUGCCUUGGCCUCCAAAAUUUCUGGGAUUACAGGCAUUGGUAACCAUGCUCAGGCCCUCUGUUUAUUUUUUAACUGCAUGUUUUUAACAUUAAACCAUAUAUUGCUUGCUUUUGCAUGUUGUCUUUAACUUUCCAUAAGUGGAUUAAUACCAUAUGUAUUCAGGACUUAGUGUUGUUCGCUCAGUAUUAGGUUUCAGGGGUUUAGAUAUAUUGAUGCAGGUAAUUAAUUGACUUUCCAUUGCUCUCUAGCAUUUCAUUGUAUAAUCACACCCUGAUUUACUUGUAUAUUAUAUUUUUAAUUGCUACUUGCUAUUAUAAACAAUGCAGUUUUGAAUGUUCUUAAUUACAUCUCCUGAUGUGUGUGUGUACAUAUUUCUUUAGGAUUUAAACCUAGAAAUUGAAUUUGUGGAUCAUAAGAAUUGUAACUGUUCAAAUAUA